Molecule: long non-coding RNA, 6257 nt
Filed under: Lactuca sativa (garden lettuce)
Lineage: Eukaryota; Viridiplantae; Streptophyta; Magnoliopsida; Asterales; Asteraceae
Description: long non-coding RNA (LSAT_LNC002174)
Source: RNAcentral
UUAUAUAUAGGGCGUGUUCGGCACGGAACGUUUGGGAGCGUUUGAGAGCUUCUAGCGUUUGACAAAACGCUCCUUUUUUAACAGAAAGUCUCGUUCGGCACUACAAGUUUCUAGUGUUUAGUUUAAACAAAACGCUUCAAAUUCAAAUACUACUUCAUGUAGCGUUUAACAAAAUGUUACAAGCUACAAACUACCCGCUACACGCUACAAGUCACCGGUUACCAGCUAAUUUUACCGAACACGCCCAUGAACCAUUGUUUUAUAUAAUCGUUAGAAUUAAUGCUAUUAAAUCAUUGUGUGUUUGUAUGUUUUAGUUUGUUUGUUGUUUCAAACUCUGUAUUCUCUUCUUAAUCAAUAGCCACAUAGAAGAUGACUCUUCCAAAUAUAAAAUUUUAGCAAAUUGGUUGAGUAUGGUGAUGGGUGACUUUAGUAAGUACAGAACAAUCGACUAUUGUGAAGGAUAGACAGAUUUUAAAUGGGUCAUUCAUCCUAAAUGAGGUGGUGUCUAGGUGUAAGGUCAAAACGAAGAAAGUGAUUAUUUUGAAGGUAGAUUUUGCUAAAGCCUGCGACUCGGUUAGAUGAGAUUUUUUGGAUGAGGUUAUGAGCCGAUUUGGGUUUGGUAUGAAGUGUGGGAGUUGGGUGCAGGGUUGUCCUCAUUCGACUACGAGCUUAGUGCUGGUCAACGACACUACGACAACCCCCACAUAAGUUUUGUUUUUGCAAGGUUUUGCAUCAUGGAGAUUCGUUAUCUCUUUUUUUAUUCAUUUUGGUGAUGGAAAUCUACAUAUAGCCUUUCAAAUGGCUAUGACUUAGAUUUGGCCCAAUUUAGUACUAAAUCACAAAUUCUUCUUCCAUCGUUGAAAUUUGAUUUUAGGUGUGAUCAAAACCGGAAAAAUCUUCAUUCUUAAUAAAAACAUCUUCUACAUGCCACAUGUCCAUUUUUUAAACCAGGCUUCUGUCAUGUGGCAUUCUCUCCAACAAUUCUAUCUAUUUUUUCCCACCCAAUUGAUGAAUCGAUAUCAAAUCUGUAAUCAAAUUUGUAUCCCUAAACUUCGUCUGCUGAAUUUGGUGCAAAUUCGGUUACCAUAUUAUCCCUGCAUUCAAAUUCAAUUUCAAAUACAUUAGAAUGAAAUCAGCAAUAUCCCAUAUAAUCAGCGAUUAUUUUGAAUUCAUUAAUCUUUUACCAAAUUUAUAGGAAUCAUAAUAGGAAUGUAAUCAUGAUUACAAUAUUAUCUUCAUUCUAUUCAUUACACCUAUAAAUACCGAUUCCUAAAUUUUUUUCCAACAUUUUCCAUCUUUCUCAUUUGAUUCUUAUCGUCUUCUUCAUCUGUGCAAUUCUUGGUAAAGCAUCCCAAACAACCAUGUCGAUUUUUUAUUUGUAUAUUAUUUUUCUUUAUUUUGAUUAUUUCUAUAUUCUACUCCUUCUGUUACCCUUAUGUACCAUCGUAUAAACAUAUAUGUGUAUUUAUGUUUGUUCCUUUGCGUAUGUAAUAUCUUAUAGUUAUACAUGUUAAAUAAAUUAACUUAAGUAUAUGAACAAACAUUGAUUGGUCUAUAAUUAUUAGCAUAGUAGCAUAAUAUAUGCUCACGAUUUAAAUGAAAGAAUUAAUGUGUCCUUUAUUCUAAAUAUCUUAAUUGUUGUUGUACUUUUAAAUUUAGACCAUUCACGGCAUUCUACUUACAUUAGUUUCUAAGUAAUGGCACAUGUAACGCACGUAGAUCCGGGCUAGUCAAUUUAGAGACGAUAAGCAUCAAAAUGACUUUUUGAUGGAAGAUUAUUUUGAAGAAUUAAUCUUAACCAAGUUUUAGUAUAUGUCACAAGGUUUUCGUGCAUAUAAAAAACGCCAAAAUCCGAGUUAUAACGAAGAAGUUAUGACCUGUCGAAGUUUCGCGACAGAACCGGCACGACCCAGCGCGACGUAAAUAGUGAAUUUAAGGUAGAUAGAUAUCUAUCCUUAGUGAUCUAAACGAGAUUCGAAGAUGUUUUCGAUAGUAGUCCAACGAUAAAAAGACAGACGAAAACGGUGUUCAGAUGAAGGGGUUAUAAAUUUAUAACGGAGUUUCCUGUCCCGGCCUACUAAAAAUAAUAUAUAAGUAAUAUAAUUAUAACAUAUUAAAAAUAAAGACAAAAUUAGCCAAUGGAGUCUAAACGAGAGUUGUAGAGCAUAAUCUCACCUUCGCGUCGAUAUAAAGAACGUCGAAAACGGAGUUCGUAUGCGAAAGUUAUGAAUUUCUAAAGUUCGGGGCGCGAAACCCCAAAACUGUCAGGGACCACGACGUGGCAAGCAGUACCACAACGUGGCAAGUCUCCUGACACCUCCGGGAGUCCCCCAGAUGCAACUUGUGAUGACGUAUGCAGUGACGACCAAGCCCACGACAUGGAAAAAGGGUGCCACGACGUGGCAAGGGCCAAAUUUGCCCUAUAAAUAGAUUUGAAGGGCCAGCCGACUAUGGNNNNNNNNNNNNNNNNNNNNNNNNNNNNNNNNNNNNNNNNNNNNNNNNNNNNNNNNNNNNNNNNNNNNNNNNNNNNNNNNNNNNNNNNNNNNNNNNNNNNNNNNNNNNNNNNNNNNNNNNNNNNNNNNNNNNNNNNNNNNNNNNNNNNNNNNNNNNNNNNNNNNNNNNNNNNNNNNNNNNNNNNNNNNNNNNNNNNNNNNNNNNNNNNNNNNNNNNNNNNNNNNNNNNNNNNNNNNNNNNNNNNNNNNNNNGUGAGUGUAUAGUCCCUUUCAUAAACACGAUUAUAAUACAAGUAUUGUUUGAAUGUAUUAAGUAUAUGUUUGGUGUGAGUGUAUAGUCACUUUCAUCUUACACAUAGAUAUGAAGUAUUUUAUAAAAUACGUGCUAUGUGUAUAUAUAUUGUUGUUUAUAUGUGAGUGUGUGGUUACUUUCUUCUAACGCAUAAUUAUGAAGUAUUUUAUACGAAAUACAUGCUAUGUGUAUAAUAUAAAGUUGUUUAUAUGUGUGAGUGUAUAGUCCCUUUCAUAAACACGAUUAUAAUACAAAUAUUGUUUGAAUGUAUUAAGUAUAUGUUUUGGGUGAGUAUGUGGUCAUUUUCUUCUAACACAUAAAUAUUAAGUAUAUGUUAUGAAAUACGUGCUAUGUGUUUAUAUAUUGUUUGUUUNUAUAUAUAUGUAUAUAUAUAUAUAUAUAUAUAUAUAUAUAUAUAUUUGUAUCUACAAAUAUAUUGGGUAGGACAUGGGUAGAUGAUAUCCGUGAGUAUGGAUCAGAUCAAGAGGUUAGUUUUAGAUCCGUGAGUAUAGAUUAGAUCAAGAGAUUGGAUUUAGAUCCGAGAAUAUGGAAUAGGAAAAGAGAUAAACUUGUUAUUAAUCCGGGAGUAUGAAUUAAGACAUAGUAAAUUGUCCCUAGUCCAGGAGUAUGGAUUGGGCACAGUUUAGAUCCGGGAGUAUGGAUCAGAACAGGAUUUAGGUAUAGUAAAUUGUCCCUAGUCCGGGAGUAUGGAUUGGGCACAGUUUUAGAUCCGGGAGUAUGGAUCAGACCAAUAGGUAAACUUGUUAUUAAUCCGGGAGUAUGGAUUAAGACAUAGUUAAUUGUCCCUAGUCCGGGAGUAUGGAUUGGGCACAGUUUUAGAUCCGGGAGUAUGGAUCAGACCAAGAGAUUAGUUUAGAUCCGGGAGUAUGGAUUAGACCAAGAGGUUAGUUUUAGGUCCGAGAGUAUGGAUCAGGUGGAGAGAUUAGUUUAGAUCCGUGAGUAGGGAUCAGAUAAAGAGGAAAAGUUUAGAUACAAGAGUUUAGAUCGUGGCGUUGUGAGGAUUGAUGGUGUGGGUUAAGAGUUGCUUUUAUAUGGUGAAAUUAUAUAAUUUUGGAUGUUCUAUAUAUAUUUAUAUGAUAUAACAUUGUGGGAUGAAAACCCAAUAUGCUCACCAGGCUCCCAAGCCUGACCCACUCAGUUUCCUUUGUAUCACAGGUACCGAUACGAAGAUAUAUUUCACGGAAAGAUUAAAGGAGAUGUAAAAUCUUUAGUGUAAAUAAUGUAAGUUCUGUUUAUGCUUAUGUGUCUGUAUCGGAACAUGACAUCCCAAGAUUUUGUUAUAUAAUGAAAAUACAUUUCUUUAAAGAAAUGUUUUGAUAAAUCUUUAUCAUAUUUUGGGAACAAAUUCCACAACUGUUUUCUUUAAACGAUUACUCUGAUUUUAAAACAAAGCAUAAACAAAUCGGUCUUUUCUGGCCGUGAAAUUGGGGAUGUCACAGCACAAAUAUCUAUUGAUUAUGUUAACAAUUUCAAUUAGGUCAUUGUGACAUAUACCUAUCGACUACAUUAGUUUCUAAGUAAUAGCACAUAUACCUUUUCUUUUAUUUGUUGUUUAUAAAACUGCAAUUAUUGUUUUUUUAAAUGACAAUUCUGCCUUUUUAAUUAUAUUAUACGAAAUAAAUGUUUGUUCACAUCGGGCAACCUGCUUUUGAAUAUGUUUAUGGCAAUAUCUUGUACCAAGAACAAACAAUAAAACUGUCAUAUUUCUUUUUUAAUAUAAAAUGAUAAUUAUGUCCUUUUAUAUUAUCUUAUACAAAUAUAGGGUAAUUCAUAAUAAAGCAUUAUCCUUUUGCAUAUACUUACGUUUUUUUGUGGUUUGUCUUUUAUUGUAGAUAUCUUCAUGGUGUUGUAAUUUUAAGUUAGACCAUUCUUAGCAUUCUACUUAGCAUACUUCAUGUUUUAAAAAUUAUAGCAUUGUAAGAGUACAUUGCUUCUCAUAUUUAUAUAAUCUUAUACCAAAUAACUUUAAUGUAUGGUAAUUUCUUAGCCAAAGGGAAAAAAUGUCAAAUUCCUAUAAUAAACAAAAUAUAAAACAAUUAUUAUUUCUUUGACAUAGAAAAUUACAAUUAUGCCCUUUUCUAUUAAUGUUGUCAUUUGUUUUUAUUGUUUGUUUUUUGUUCGUCCUAUGUGUACUUAAAAAUGCCUAAUAACUAUUUAAAAAUACAUUGAUAAAGCCAAGCACAAAGAACUCGUGCAACUUCAUGAUUUAACAUAUUUUUUUCAAUUACUAGAAAUAACAAUGUAUUUUUUCUAAUGUGUAAUUAGCAUAAUUGUACAAGCAAUUACCAUGCAUGUCACGUAAAACUAUAGCUACUUGCAAUAAGAAAAACCAAUAAAUAUUUCCAUCACCUAAUAAAAUACAUAAAUUUAUUUGGAAAAUAAUACUUUAAUUAAAUUAUAUUAACAACUUUUUUUUGAAAAUAAGAAAAUCAAAGUGUAUGAAAGAUUACGAAAGAGACUUUGAAAGGAGCAUUAUCUAUUCUAAAACUAAUUCAUGGCACAAACUAAUUCAUGUAGUCUCUUAAGAGUAUUAAACAAUAAAUGAUUUAACAAAUGUUACUUAGUGAUAACCACUCCUAAGUGCUCUCUAAGUUUGUAACCAUGCAAUGAUUUUCCAUAAUAGCAGAAAGACACAGGUGUAACAUUUUUAAACACUAAAUGAUGAAGAAAAAUCACCUUUUGAUGAUAGCAAGAAUGGUCCACUCUAGUAAACCUACAAAUCAUGGAUAGAUAGUUACAACAAAACUCAAACUCAAACCUGUGGUAUUAUAAGAUAACAGAAAUUGUUCCUACUAACAGUGCAGGGGCAUUUCCGUCAAUAUCAUUUUGUAUUUUAAAAAAGCAUAAUAGGACAAAUUGUUAUUACUCUAUUUCAAGAUUUUUCCUUCAUACACUACAUUCUUAUACACCCAAAAUCUGAAAUUUGUAAGUGGAAUCUUAAUCUUAUAUCUGUACAAUUACCAUGUCAAUUUAAUUUGGAAGGUACAUAAAUUCAAACAAAUACUCACAUUGUAUGAAAUUCAAAAUUUCAAGCAAAUUGACAGGUACCUAGUUAUGUCUUAAGUCUUAAAGUAUUUCGAGAUAUUCCUUACUACCACUUUAGUUUUCACUAACAUCUUCAAAGACAACGUCAUUUCUACAAAAAAUAAUUAGGUAAAAUUAUCUUCCAAUUAAUGUAUGUUAUGUUAAAUAAACUUAGAUUAACAAAGAUUUAGAUAAUUUCUUACCGAACAUUUUUCCGUCUUCAACCCCCAAUGUUUCGUUUCUUCAUUCUCUGAGUUCUACAUCGGAUAUUAAUCAACAUAAGUUUCUCUUUAGUUCAAAUUUCUUCUAUGGUUGUAUAUUCGUAUCUGCCUUCAUCGAUAGCAAUGGAGAAACUUACAUACCCUUUGUGAAAUGAAUACGGGGCGAUGUUUCAGGUGUUGGCGGAAAUAUCGAUUUGGAGAUAAUUCUAGGUCUUCGUUUCUAUUACAGUUAGUGGGGGUGGGGUU